GACAUAGGUCGCAAACGUUAUCCGGAAUUAUUGGGCGUAAAGGGUGUGUAGGUGGUCGUGUUAGUCUUCUGUGAAAUUCUUCGGCUUAACCGGGGGUCCGCAGGGGAAACGGCACGACUCGAGGACGCAAGGGGUGAAUGGAACUCAUGGAGUAGGGGUGAAAUCCGUUGAUAUCAUGGGGAACACCAAAAGCGAAGGCAAUUCACUGGGGCAUUCCUGACACUGAAACACGAAAGCGUGGGUAGCGAACUGG
Molecule: ribosomal RNA, 253 nt
Filed under: uncultured bacterium
Lineage: Bacteria
Description: partial 16S ribosomal RNA
Rfam family: Bacterial small subunit ribosomal RNA
Source: RNAcentral